RNAcentral lists this ribosomal RNA (465 nucleotides) under uncultured bacterium. Its description in RNAcentral is "partial 16S ribosomal RNA". It matches the Rfam family "Bacterial small subunit ribosomal RNA", at positions 338 to 795 of the family's 1533-position model. The record is from RNAcentral.
CCUACGGGUGGCAGCCGUGGGGAAUAUUGCGCAAUGGGCGAAAGCCUGACGCAGCGACGCCGCGUGAGGGAUGAAGGUCUUCGGAUCGUAAACCUCUGUCAGCAGGGAAGAACGGUCACUGUGCUAAUCAGCAGUGAAUUGACGGUCCCUGCACAGGAAGCACCGGCUAACUCCGUGCCAGCAGCCGCGGUAAUCCGGAGGGUGCGAGCGUUAAUCGGAAUUACUGGGCGUAAAGCGCUCGUAGGCGGUAUGUCAAGUCAAGGGUGAAAUCCCCGCGCUCAACGUGGGAACUGCCUUUGAAACUGGCAAACUUGAGUGUGUGAGAGGAUAGUGGAAUUCCAGGUGGAGGAGUGAAAUCCGGAGAGAUCUGGAGGAACAUCAGUGGCGAAGGCGACUAUCUGGCACAUAACUGACGCUGAGGAGCGAAAGCGUGGGUAGCAAACAGGAUUAGAUACCCGUGUAGUC